AUGAGAGGGGGAGGAAGAGGGAGAGAGAGAAGGAAGGAGAGGAGAGGAGAGAGAAAGAGAGAGGAGAAAGGAGAGGAGGGGGGCGACGGCGGUCGGGAGAGGAUCACCGGAAGGAGUGUCGCCGGCUCAUCGUCUUUCAUACCUACCCAUGCAGGGGUGUUGCAAGGAGUUAGAGGUCGUGCGCUGGCCGGAGCAGCAGGAGCAAGGAUAUGGCCGCCUCUCUUCUCUGCCACGGUUCCCUCCUCUUCCUUCAGCUCUCGAGAUGUCGACCUGCAGGUUAAGGCAAACCAUUGUUUGACAACAAAUAUGCGGAGGCGUUUUUAUGAAUGUGCAUUUCACCUGAAUCUGGAGAGCUAUUUUAUCUGUCGCGGACAUUUUUGGUGGAAUUCAAUGUUUAGCAGGAUUAUUAUGGAUUUUCUGAAGGUGGUGGUGGGGGUUGCACGGCAUGUUCCGUCUGGUUUCAGUGUACAAUCAUAUAUUUGUCAGCCAUGGCUCCUUAGAGAGCUGGACAUGCUUGGUUGGAGUCGUCGUCGUCCUGGUUGGGGAGAUGAGCAUGCUUAUGCUUAUCUAACAUAUAAAGCCUCCUAG
RNAcentral lists this ribosomal RNA (588 nucleotides) under Triticum aestivum (bread wheat). RNAcentral describes it as "partial small subunit ribosomal RNA". Lineage: Eukaryota; Viridiplantae; Streptophyta; Magnoliopsida; Poales; Poaceae. The record is from RNAcentral.